GCCCGCCUAGCUCAAUCGGAUAGAGCGUCAGACUUUUACAACUAUGGCGGGUAUCUGAAGGCUGCGAGUUCGACCCUCGCGGUGGGCU
Mycena latifolia is the source of this 88-nucleotide non-coding RNA. The record is from the annotation of a GenBank genome assembly. NCBI's taxonomy places the organism in Eukaryota, Fungi, Basidiomycota, Agaricomycetes, Agaricales, Mycenaceae.